Molecule: transfer RNA, 58 nt
Filed under: Camelus bactrianus (Bactrian camel)
Lineage: Eukaryota; Metazoa; Chordata; Mammalia; Artiodactyla; Camelidae
Also listed under: 1 other name
Rfam family: tRNA
About the family: Transfer RNA (tRNA) molecules are approximately 80 nucleotides in length. Their secondary structure includes four short double-helical elements and three loops (D, anti-codon, and T loops).
Source: Rfam by way of RNAcentral
UAGUUUAAGUGGUAGAGUGCAUGCCUAGCAUGCAUGAGUUCCUGGGUUCAAUUCCCAG